This 631-nucleotide ribosomal RNA is filed under the name fungal endophyte. RNAcentral describes it as "eukaryotic LSU rRNA". The stretch from base 191 to 344 matches the Rfam family "5.8S ribosomal RNA". The record is from RNAcentral. Lineage: Eukaryota; Fungi.
CGGAGGGAUCAUUAAAGAGUUCUAUAACUCCCAAACCCAUGUGAACAUACCUAACGUUGCCUCGGCAGGUCGCACCUACCUUGUAGCACCCUACCCUGUAGGGCCUACCCGGGAGAUGCGGGUAAGCCUGCCGGCGGCCCACUAAACUCUGUUUGAUAUUGAAUUCUGAACAUAUAACUAAAUAAGUUAAAACUUUCAACAACGGAUCUCUUGGUUCUGGCAUCGAUGAAGAACGCAGCGAAAUGCGAUAAGUAAUGUGAAUUGCAGAAUUCAGUGAAUCAUCGAAUCUUUGAACGCAUAUUGCGCCCAUUAGUAUUCUAGUGGGCAGGACCGUUCGAGCGUCAUUUCGACCCUUAAGCCUUAGUUGCUUAGUGUUGGGAGCCUACGGCAACGUAGCUCCUCAAAGUUAGUGGCGGAGUUGGUUCACACUCUAGACGUAGUAAUUUUUUAUCUCGCCUAUUAGUUGGACUGAUCCCCUGCCGUAAAACCCCCAACUUAUCAAGGUUGACCUCGAAUCGGUUCAGACAAACUCGCUAAAUUGAAGCAUCUUAGUCAGCGAAGGAAAAGAAACCAACAGGGAUUGCCCUAGUAACGGCGAGUGAAGCGGCAACAGCUCAAAUUUGAAAUCUGG